AUUGAACGCUGGCGGCAGGCCUAACACAUGCAAGUCGAACGAGUGGCGGACGGGUGAGUAAUGUCUGGGAAACUGCCCGAUGGAGGGGGAUAACUACUGGAAACGGUAGCUAAUACCGCAUACCAUCGGAUGUGCCCCGAUGGGAUUAGCUAGUAGGUGGGGUAACGGCUCACCUAGGCGACGAUCCCUAGCUGGUCUGCAAGGAUGACCAGCAAGACUGGAACUGAGACACGGUCCAGAAUCCUACUGGAGGCAGCAGUGGGGAAUAUUGCACAAUGGUCGCAAGCCUGAUGCAGCCAUGCCGCGUGUAUGAAGAAGGCCUUCGGGUUGUAAAGUACUUUCAGCGGGGAGGCGUUACUCGCAGAAGAAGCACCGGCUAACUCCGUGCCAGCAGCCGCGGUAAUUC
Molecule: ribosomal RNA, 406 nt
Filed under: uncultured bacterium
Lineage: Bacteria
Description: partial 16S ribosomal RNA
Rfam family: Bacterial small subunit ribosomal RNA
Source: RNAcentral